This 74-nucleotide transfer RNA is filed under the name Tethya citrina. Its description in RNAcentral is "trnS". It matches the Rfam family "tRNA". Rfam says of the family: Transfer RNA (tRNA) molecules are approximately 80 nucleotides in length. Lineage: Eukaryota; Metazoa; Porifera; Demospongiae; Tethyida; Tethyidae. The record is from RNAcentral.
GAUGAGGUGGCUGAGUAUGGUAAAGCAGCAGUUUGCUAAAUUGUAAAGCGCGGGUUCAAAUCCCGCUUUCAUCG